Molecule: non-coding RNA, 1525 nt
Organism: Schizosaccharomyces pombe (fission yeast)
Lineage: Eukaryota; Fungi; Ascomycota; Schizosaccharomycetes; Schizosaccharomycetales; Schizosaccharomycetaceae
Source: the annotation of a GenBank genome assembly
UUGCAAUGCCUUUAGCCUGUCUUUUUUUUUAAACGCCAAUUUCGUCGAAGCAAUUCAAUCAUACACCACCUUCCUUCUUCCUUCUAUGACAAAAGAAAAGAGAGAAAGGAACCAGAUGACACAUACAAUUAUUCUUUAAUAAAGAAAAUAAAUUAUGACCAAACAAGGACCUGGGGAAAAGAGUAGUAAAAAAGAGUCGACAAACGAAGGAAGAAUAUCAUAAACCCAUUAUCGUUUGUCAGUAACGAUUGUUUCUGGGAUCAUCAAUCCAUCCAAAAAGGAAAAAGUCACGAAAAAGCCCAAAUGGGAUUACGAUAAGCUUUCAAGAAAUUUCUUUUUUAUUUUCGCUUGACACUGCAAUUUCCCUCUCCACGACGACAAAUAGAAAAAAAGUAAAGAGUUUUUUUAAGCAACCUGGACGGCGGUUUGCUGAGGAACGGCAUCGCUAGACUCAGAAGCAAUGCGAGACAUACGCUCAGCAUGGACAUGAGGGUGCAUGCCAGGCUCGUUCUCAAUGAUCUCGCUAGUGUCGGAUUGAACGUCGUCUUGUAAGUGGGUGACUUGCUCAACGGGGACGGGCUCACCUUGAGCCUCAUACUCGUUCCAGGAACGAGCGUCACUUUGGGCAUCAUCCUCGAUUUGAGGCUUGACAAAGUUGACGGCGGGUUGGCUGGGAACCCAAGAGCUCAAGGCGUGCUCAGCAUCCAUGACGAUUUGGCGGGAAGUCUCAUAACCAUCGUAGGCAGGACGAGCCUCACCGGGAGUGACGGGGGUGUCGUCAAUCAAGUUCAACAAAUGUCUGCCAUAGGUGGCAAUGAGGUUGAGCUUCUCGGCAUGCUCGUGGAGGGCAUCCAAGUUGAAGGUCAUGGCUUGCUUGAACUUUUCACGGGUGGUGUUGGAAAGUUGAGCCUCGGCAACCAAACAGGCAGCCUCCUCACGAACAAGCUCUUGCUCCAUGGUGACCAAGCGAGGGGAUUCAGGAUCCUUAUGCUUAAGAGCAUAGAUUUGAUCCAAGAGCUUUUGCUUCUUCUCACGAGAGGGUUGGACAGAGGACUCGAUGUUACGGAUGGACUUCAACGUCAUACGGUAUUGGUCAUAACGAUCGAUCAAGUAGUUCUCCAACUCGGCCAUCUCGUAAAACAAGACACCCAAUUUGUCGGUGACGUCGCUGAUAUCGUCAUCGCAGUCCUCACCCCAGUAGGAAAGUUGGCGAGCACAAUCACGACGGCCACGGAUGGUGACCUCCAUACUGCGCAUCACGUUCUUUUCCAUCUUGACCAAGACAGCCAAACGCUUAGCCAAGUCAGGGGUGAAGGUGGCAGCGUGGUUGAUACGCAUGGUAUGACUCAAGGGGGCAAACAAACGACCACUACGAGUGGAAGAGGAGGGAGGAGGGGGGUUUAACAAUUGUGAGGCCGUAGGGGCACGGCUGUUUCUUAAAGAGUACGCACGGUUCAUCAUCUUGCAGAAAUAGAAAUAGAUGUGGGUAAAUAAGAAGAGAUGGUAGUAAUAAUAAAAAUAAGUG